AGGGAUUAUUCGGUGUAAUCAUGACCGUAAUGUUACAAAGGAUGUGAUAAAAGUCCUCUUUGGCCCGUAGUGCAUUUAUGGACAAUUGUUGGCAUGAUCAUGAGCAUUGAUGAAUACACGAAUAUCCUUGGCCCGUAGUGCAUGAAUAAUUUGUGGUCGUGAUACUAACUAAUAUCCAUAGCCGUAGUGUAGGGAUGAUGUGGAUUAUUUAUUAAGC
Molecule: long non-coding RNA, 217 nt
Filed under: Panax ginseng (ginseng)
Lineage: Eukaryota; Viridiplantae; Streptophyta; Magnoliopsida; Apiales; Araliaceae
Description: long non-coding RNA (PGIN_LNC012673)
Source: RNAcentral